GGCCUUGACAUACUAAGAACUUUCCAGAGAUGGAUUGGUGCCUUCGGGAACUUAGAUACAGGUGCUGCAUGGCUGUCGUCAGCUCGUGUCGUGAGAUGUUGGGUUAAGUCCCGCAACGAGCGCAACCUUUUCCUUAUUUGCCAGCGGGUCAUGCCGGGAACUUUAAGGAUACUGCCAGUGACAAACUGGGAGGAAGGCGGGGACGACGUCAAGUCAUCAUGGCCCUUACGGCCAGGGCUACACACGUGCUACAAUGGUCGGUACAAAGGGUUGCUACCUCGCGAGAGGAUGCUAAUCUCAAAAAGCCGAUCGUAGUCCGGAUCGCAGUCUGCAACUCGACUGCGUGAAGUCGGAAUCGCUAGUAAUCGCGGAUCAGAAUGCCGCGGUGAAUACGUUCCCGGGCCUUGUACACACCGCCCGUCACACCAUGGGAGUUUGUUGCACCAGAAGUAGGUAGUCUAACCGCAAGGAGGACGCUUACCACGGUGUGGCCGAUGACUGGGGUGAAGUCGUAACAAGGUAAGCGUAGAUGA
This 533-nucleotide ribosomal RNA is filed under the name uncultured bacterium. RNAcentral describes it as "bacterial SSU rRNA". It matches the Rfam family "Bacterial small subunit ribosomal RNA", at positions 977 to 1509 of the family's 1533-position model. The record is from RNAcentral.